UACGGAAGGCAGCAGUGGGGAAUAUUGCACAAUGGGCGAAAGCCUGAUGCAGCUAUGCCGCGUGUAUGAAGAAGGCCUUAGGGUUGUAAAGUACUUUCAUCGGGGAGGAAAAACAAAACUAAUAAUUUUAUUUCUUGACGUUACCCGAAAAAGAAGCACCGGCUAACUCCGUGCCAGCAGCCGCGGUAAUACGGAGGGUGCUAGCGUUAAUCAGAAUUACUGGGCGUAAAGAGCACGUAGGUGGUUUUUUUAAGUCAGAUGUGAAAUCCCUGGGCUUAACCUAGGAACUGCAUUUUGAAACUGAAAUACUAGAGUAUCGUAGAGGGAGGUAGAAUUCUAAGUGUAGCGGUGAAAUGCGUAGAUAUCUGGAGGAAUACCUGUGGCGAAAGCGGCCUCCUAAACGAAUACUGACACUGAGGUGCGAAAGCGUGGGGAGCAAACAGGGAUUAGAUACC
This 455-nucleotide ribosomal RNA is filed under the name uncultured bacterium. RNAcentral describes it as "bacterial SSU rRNA". It matches the Rfam family "Bacterial small subunit ribosomal RNA", at positions 340 to 786 of the family's 1533-position model. The record is from RNAcentral.